UGUGGUGCUCGAGUUCUUGUGAAACCUUAUAGGGAAAAAUCAAAGCUUACUGAUAGGAGGUAUCAGGAGAGAAUUGAGCCUCCAUUCUAUUUCUCUUCUCAAUACGUAGAUACAGAUUCUGAGUUUUAUCCAAUGCGAAGAGGAUAUGAGACCUCAAGGUUGCUGAGAAAGCAGCUUAUGGAAGAGCAACAGGAGCAGGCUCUUGAAAUUCAGAGGAGGCGAUUUGCAGAACUGCGAACAGCUCAGAAGCCAAUGUCUAAUCAGUCUUAUUUUGGCUAC
This 279-nucleotide unclassified non-coding RNA is filed under the name Hevea brasiliensis (rubber tree). Lineage: Eukaryota; Viridiplantae; Streptophyta; Magnoliopsida; Malpighiales; Euphorbiaceae. The record is from RNAcentral.